UGAAGCAUCGAAUGCUGCGAUGAAAC
Molecule: non-coding RNA, 26 nt
Filed under: Mus musculus (house mouse)
Lineage: Eukaryota; Metazoa; Chordata; Mammalia; Rodentia; Muridae
Source: RNAcentral